RNAcentral lists this ribosomal RNA (309 nucleotides) under Enterococcus faecium. RNAcentral describes it as "bacterial LSU rRNA". It matches the Rfam family "Bacterial large subunit ribosomal RNA", at positions 2619 to 2925 of the family's 2925-position model. The record is from RNAcentral. Lineage: Bacteria; Bacillati; Bacillota; Bacilli; Lactobacillales; Enterococcaceae.
UCGUGAGACAGUUCGGUCCCUAUCCGUCGCGGGCGUUGGAAAUUUGAGAGGAGCUGUCCUUAGUACGAGAGGACCGGGAUGGACUUACCGCUGGUGUACCAGUUGUUCUGCCAAGGGCAUUGCUGGGUAGCUAUGUAGGGAAGGGAUAAACGCUGAAAGCAUCUAAGUGUGAAGCCCACCUCAAGAUGAGAUUUCCCAUUUCUUUAAGAAAGUAAGAUUCCUGAGAGAUGAUCAGGUAGAUAGGUCAGGAGUGGAAGUACAGUGAUGUAUGGAGCGGACUGAUACUAAUCGAUCGAGGACUUAACCAAU